CUACGGGAGGCUGCAGUGGAGAAUAUUGCACAAUGGGCGCAAGCCUGAUGCAGCCAUGCCGCGUGUGUGAAGAAGGCCUUCGGGUUGUAAAGCACUUUCAGCGGGGAGGAAGGCGUUAAGGUUAAUAACCUUGGCGAUUGACGUUACCCGCAGAAGAAGCACCGGCUAACUCCGUGCCAGCAGCCGCGGUAAUACGGAGGGUGCAAGCGUUAAUCGGAAUUACUGGGCGUAAAGCGCACGCAGGCGGUCUGUCAAGUCGGAUGUGAAAUCCCCGGGCUCAACCUGGGAACUGCAUUCGAAACUGGCAGGCUAGAGUCUUGUAGAGGGGGGUAGAAUUCCAGGUGUAGCGGUGAAAUGCGUAGAGAUCUGGAGGAAUACCGGUGGCGAAGGCGGCCCCCUGGACAAAGACUGACGCUCAGGUGCGAAAGCGUGGGGAGCAAACAGGAUUAGAUACCCCAGUAGUC
This 464-nucleotide ribosomal RNA is filed under the name uncultured Klebsiella sp. RNAcentral describes it as "bacterial SSU rRNA". It matches the Rfam family "Bacterial small subunit ribosomal RNA", at positions 339 to 795 of the family's 1533-position model. The record is from RNAcentral. Lineage: Bacteria; Pseudomonadati; Pseudomonadota; Gammaproteobacteria; Enterobacterales; Enterobacteriaceae.